This 497-nucleotide ribosomal RNA is filed under the name uncultured bacterium. RNAcentral describes it as "partial 16S ribosomal RNA". It matches the Rfam family "Bacterial small subunit ribosomal RNA", at positions 28 to 507 of the family's 1533-position model. The record is from RNAcentral.
GGUGAACGCUGGCGGCGUGCCUAAUACUUGCAAGUCGAGCGAACAGACGAGGAGCUUGCUCCUCUGACGUUAGCGGCGGACGGGUGAGUAACACGUGGAUAACCUACCUAUAAGACUGGGAUAACUUCGGGAAACCGGAGCUAAUACCGGAUAAUAUAUUGAACCGCAUGGUUCAAUAGUGAAAGACGGUUUUGCUGUCACUUAUAGAUGGAUCCGCGCCGCAUUAGCUAGUUGGUAAGGUAACGGCUUACCAAGGCAACGAUGCGUAGCCGACCUGAGAGGGUGAUCGGCCACACUGGAACUGAGACACGGUCCAGACUCCUACGGGAGGCAGCAGUAGGGAAUCUUCCGCAAUGGGCGAAAGCUUGACGGAGCAACGCCGCGUGAGUGAUGAAGGUCUUCGGAUCGUAAAACUCUGUUAUUAGGGAAGAACAAAUGUGUAAGUAACUAUGCACGUCUUGACGGUACCUAAUCAGAAAGCCACGGCUAACUACGUG